Molecule: ribosomal RNA, 314 nt
Filed under: uncultured bacterium
Lineage: Bacteria
Description: partial 16S ribosomal RNA
Rfam family: Bacterial small subunit ribosomal RNA
Source: RNAcentral
UUAUAAGAGACAGCAGCAGCCGCGGUAAUACGUAGGUGGCAAGCGUUGUCCGGAAUUAUUGGGCGUAAAGGGCUCGCAGGCGGUUUCUUAAGUCUGAUGUGAAAGCCCCCGGCUCAACCGGGGAGGGUCAUUGGAAACUGGGAAACUUGAGUGCAGAAGAGGAGAGUGGAAUUCCGCGUGUAGCGGUGAAAUGCGUAGAGAUGUGGAGGAACACCAGUGGCGAGGGCGACUCUCUGGUCUGUAACUGACGCUGAGGAGCGAAAGCGUGGGGAGCGAACAGGAUUAGAUACCCGCGUAGUCCCUGUCUCUUAUAC